ACGUAGGGGGCGAGCGUUAUCCGGAAUUAUUGGGCGUAAAGAGCGCGUAGGCGGUUGUUUAAGUUGGGGGUGAAAGGCCACAGCUUAACUGUGGUAGGCCUUGCGAACUGGAGGACUUGAGUGCCGGAGAGGAAAGUGGAAUUUCGAGUGUAGCGGUGAAAUGCGUAGAUAUUAGGAGGAACACCAGUGGCGAAGGCGACUUUCUGGACUGUAACUGACGCUGAGACACGAAAGCGUGGGGAGCAAACAG
This 250-nucleotide ribosomal RNA is filed under the name uncultured prokaryote. Its description in RNAcentral is "partial 16S rRNA". It matches the Rfam family "Bacterial small subunit ribosomal RNA", at positions 525 to 775 of the family's 1533-position model. The record is from RNAcentral.